This 449-nucleotide ribosomal RNA is filed under the name uncultured bacterium. Its description in RNAcentral is "bacterial SSU rRNA". It matches the Rfam family "Bacterial small subunit ribosomal RNA", at positions 329 to 794 of the family's 1533-position model. The record is from RNAcentral.
UGCCAGACUCCUACGGGAGGCAGCAGUGGGGAAUAUUGCACAAUGGGGGAAACCCUGAUGCAGCGACGCCGCGUGAGCGGUGAAGUAUUUCGGUAUGUAAAGCUCUAUCAGCAGGGAAGAAGAUGACGGUACCUGACUAAGAAGCCCCGGCUAACUACGUGCCAGCAGCCGCGGUAAUACGUAGGGGGCAAGCGUUAUCCGGAUUUACUGGGUGUAAAGGGAGCGUAGACGGCGAUGCAAGCCAGAUGUGAAAGCCCGGGGCUCAACCCCGGGACUGCAUUUGGAACUGUGUGGCUGGAGUGUCGGAGAGGCAGGCGGAAUUCCUAGUGUAGCGGUGAAAUGCGUAGAUAUUAGGAGGAGCACCAGUGGCGAAGGCGGCCUGCUGGACGAUGACUGACGUUGAGGCUCGAAAGCGUGGGGAGCAAACAGGAUUAGAUACCCCAGUAAGC